AGAGCGCGUGUGGCGGCCGAGCACAUGGGCCCGCGGGCCGGGCGGGCUCGGGGCGGCCGGGACGAGGAGGGGCGACGACGAGCUGCGAGCAAAGAUGUGCCCCGGGACCCCCGGCACCUUCCAGUGGAUUUCCUUGCGGAAAGGAUGUUGGCGGUCCCUGUGACCUGUGGAGACACGGCCAGAUCUGCCCUCCAGCCUGAUCUUUUGGCCAGAAGGAGAUUAAAAAGAUGCCCCUCAAGAUGGCUGUGCCUGUCAGCUGCAUGGAGCUUCGUUCAAGUAUUUUCUGAGCCUGAUGGAUUUACAGUGAUCUUCAGUGGUCUGGGGAAUAACGCUGGUGGAACCAUGCACUGGAAUGACACACGCCCGGCACAUUUCAGGAUACUAAAAGUGGUUUUAAGGGAGGCUGUGGCUGAAUGCCUCAUGGAUUCUUACAGCUUGGAUGUCCAUGGGGGACGAAGGACUGCAGCUGGCUGAGAGGGUUGAGAUCUCUGUUUACUUAGAUCUCUGCCAACUUCCUUUGGGUCUCCCUAUGGAAUGUAAGACCCCGACUCUUCCUGGUGAAGCAUCUGAUGCACGUUCCAUCCGGCGCUCAGCUGGGCUUGAGAAUCAAGAGAUGCAUAUGCAGGUUUGUUACAGAGGUAUAUGGGAUGCGGUUGAAGUUUGGAGUAUGAUUGAACUCAU
This 681-nucleotide long non-coding RNA is filed under the name Homo sapiens (human). RNAcentral describes it as "non-protein coding PVT1:53". The stretch from base 17 to 194 matches the Rfam family "Pvt1 oncogene conserved region 1". The record is from RNAcentral. Lineage: Eukaryota; Metazoa; Chordata; Mammalia; Primates; Hominidae.